Molecule: long non-coding RNA, 486 nt
Filed under: Mytilus galloprovincialis (Mediterranean mussel)
Lineage: Eukaryota; Metazoa; Mollusca; Bivalvia; Mytilida; Mytilidae
Source: RNAcentral
GUUGUAAAAGGCACGUGCAGGGGAUUUUCGUUCUGCAAAAAAGAAUAACUUAUUUUUUUUAAUUAUUAGAGAAACAGAUUCUUAUAUGGUUAUCGGAUUUAUCCAAUCCCGAGGCUCGAGCUUUAACAUUGAUAAUUUAACUAUCUCGAUUGGAUAAAUCCGAUAAUCCACUGGUAUCAAUGUAAUAUCUUUAUAUACAAAGUAUAAUUGAAAAACAUAUAUAUAUGUAACAUGUUAUUGGGGAGAAAGAAUAUUGUGUAUGAACACAAAACGACUUAGGUAGAUUCAUGGUAUACCGCCAUCUGGGAUUGUACAAUCGCAUUAUAAUACCGGUCUAGUUAUUUCCUCAAAUCAGCAAUUUUGGACACAGAGUUGCAAUGUAUUGGUAAGUUUGUUUGUUUAUAUAAGGGAAACUUGGAAAGGUAUUGUAAUAAACAAAAUACCUAAACAAAUAUCGAAUUUAGUGUGUUUAGAAUCAGUUUUUUU